This is a long non-coding RNA of Tympanuchus pallidicinctus (lesser prairie-chicken), 856 nucleotides long. RefSeq lists it as uncharacterized. The transcript has 3 exons. Lineage: Eukaryota; Metazoa; Chordata; Aves; Galliformes; Phasianidae. The record is from RefSeq and is a predicted model, not a curated record.
GUUCUACAGGUAUGGAGCUUCAUGUUUCUUGCUAUGCCCUUAGAACAAAUCUUUCACUGAAUGGUGGAAAUAAGGAGGCACUGGUUUCAAUGACCUACUUGGAAAAAAGAAGGAAGAAUGAAGAAUCAUAGAAGAGCUGAAGUUGGAAGGCACCUCAAAGAUCCUCCAGUUCCAGCCACCAUACCAAGGGCAGAGUUGCCACCCACUAAAUCAGGAUGCUCAGGGCCCUAACCAACCUGGCCUGGAAGGUUGAAAGGCUGGUCGGUUUUAACUUUGUAAGGCUGGAAAUGGUCACAUAAGUAGUCUGAAAACAAAAUGCUGCAUCCCAAUUUUGAUCAAAAAUAAUAUAUUUUUUUAAUUAGAGCAGAAAAGCUCAUCAUCUCAUUUAGAUUUCAUGAAAAUGUUUUACAACAAAAUGAAGUUUUUCUUAUCCCUCAGAAUCAGUUCAACCUUGAAAUCAGAUUUGAUUAUUUUUCUGCUUUUAGCAACUCUUGUUCUAUCAAAGAAUCACUGAACAACAGGUUUAAUGUUUGCUGCUCACAACUGAAAUGACAAUGAGAACUAAUCCCAUACAUCGAUGGAUGCUGGAACAAUGGAGAGAAAGUUGUCCAUUUUGACAGACUUUUUCUCAACCACUAUUUUUCUGACCCAUACUUCAAGCCCAUCAACUGCCGACUUCUCAGCACAAAGAAUCCAGAAGCAGUGCCAUGAGUCCACACACUCAAGCCAUGCAUAAGAAUUUGCAAGAAGAGAGAAAAUGUCUACGGAUGAAUGGUGGAUUUAUUUGGUCAGCGGUAAUAACAUUUCAGCAUCCAAGCAGAAUAGAGAUCGAUGACAAAGAAAAAACAUGUAAAAA